GGAGAACAUUUACAGAGGACUGUGGGUAAAGCAAAGUCUUCAAGGGAAGAUAACAAAGGAUGAAACAAUGGUGUUGUGUGACUUCCUAGUGUGAAUCAUGGCAAUACAGUGAAAGAUAGUGAUUUACUGCUUUUGAGGGCGUGCAUGUAUAUGAUUAACGGAUGGAAGUGCAGGACUCCAAGAUUUACUUCCUUCCCUUUCCAGCAGAAUUACCUGAGAUGAGUAAAAUCUACUGGUGGAGUCACUCCAUUAUUCUUAUCUGUGGAGAUCUAGAUCUUGAUUUGAAAGUUUCUGAGAAAAUCUUCAGCUCAGACUUGAGGGUCAACUUUACCAGCUGAAGUGACUACAUCCUGCCUGCUUUCAGCUCCAGUGGAAAAU
RNAcentral lists this long non-coding RNA (378 nucleotides) under Pan troglodytes (chimpanzee). Its description in RNAcentral is "long non-coding RNA NONPTRT014536". Lineage: Eukaryota; Metazoa; Chordata; Mammalia; Primates; Hominidae. The record is from RNAcentral.